GCCGAGGUGGCGGAACGGCUACGCGGUUGACUGCAGAUCAACUCCAUCCCGGUUCGACUCCGGGUUUCGGCUC
This 73-nucleotide transfer RNA is filed under the name Methanoculleus chikugoensis. Its description in RNAcentral is "tRNA-Cys". It matches the Rfam family "tRNA". From Rfam's summary of the family: Transfer RNA (tRNA) molecules are approximately 80 nucleotides in length. Their secondary structure includes four short double-helical elements and three loops (D, anti-codon, and T loops). Further hydrogen bonds mediate the characteristic L-shaped molecular structure. tRNAs have two regions of fundamental functional importance: the anti-codon, which is responsible for specific mRNA codon recognition, and the 3' end, to which the tRNAs corresponding amino acid is attached (by aminoacyl-tRNA synthetases). tRNAs cope with the degeneracy of the genetic code in two manners: having more than one tRNA (with a specific anti-codon) for a particular amino acid; and 'wobble' base-pairing, i.e. permitting non-standard base-pairing at the 3rd anti-codon position. The record is from RNAcentral. Lineage: Archaea; Methanobacteriati; Methanobacteriota; Methanomicrobia; Methanomicrobiales; Methanomicrobiaceae.